CUGGAAGCCGCUCUCUUAGUGAGCUCUUCUAGCCUGCCAGGAGAAUGAAUGAACAGUUUCCUUCCAGCAGAGCUGCCUCCAUUGGUUGCCAGUGCAUUCAGGCUUAGUUCAUGUGGCUGUUCCAAGCACUGAGAUUAGGAGUGGAGACACCCGUGUGAACAGAAAUCUUAAAAAAAUAGGUGCAGGAGACCUGCUUUAAAAAUGAAGGGAAAAAAAAGGAAAACAGAAGGAUAAGUAAACAUGAACCAAUGCCAGCUUGUUCCUGCCAUAUGUUUUCACAAGUGCAUUUCUGUUUGGUAUGGAAGAGAACCUUUUCCAUAGUGUGAUCUGAUUUUUAUACUAAUUCAUGUGACUUUAACCUAAGAUCUGAUUACUUCUUGGAAAAGGAAAAUUAAAUUACUGAACUGUGUCCUUUGUGGAAACAGAGAGGACACUGUUCUUGGAUUCUUCAA
Vidua chalybeata is the source of this 452-nucleotide long non-coding RNA. RefSeq lists it as uncharacterized. NCBI's taxonomy places the organism in Eukaryota, Metazoa, Chordata, Aves, Passeriformes, Viduidae. The record is from RefSeq and is a predicted model, not a curated record. The transcript is spliced from 4 exons.